AUGGGCGGCGCCGACGACAUGCGCCGCCUGGCCCGCGAGGAGGAGCACGACACCGAGGCGUUCUCGCAGCUUGUCCCGGACCUGGACGUGGCGCAGCUGCCCGCUCGCGUUCUCGCCGUGCAGGUCACCAGGCCGGCGGCGGGCCACGGCGCCGUGGCGGUAGGGGUGACCAUCCUGCACGCGGUCGCCGACGGCCAGGCCGUGUGGCAGUUCAUGCGGGCGUGGUCGACGGCGUCGCGGGCGGGCGCCGCCGCGCUAGUGGGGCUCGUGCCGCCGCCCACGUUUGACCGGUCUCCGAUCCUGCAGCACCCCAUCGCCGCGGAGCUGUCCCGAACUUUCUUGCGCUUCUUCGCGCCGGCGCUGCCUCUGCUGAGGUCGCCACCGAGCACAUCUUCCACGGUGGACACGGCGCCGCAGAUCCGAAGGACCUUCGUGCUCACCGCCGACCAGAUCCGGUCCCUGAAGCAGCAGUGCGUUCCGCAAAGCGGCCAGAGCCUGCCGCCUGCGAGCACCUACGUCACCAUCUCGUCCCUCGUGUGGGCGUCCAUCGUCCGCGCCAAGUCCAUGGACCACGCGGACGACACCCACUUCAUGGUCGCCGCGGACUGCCGGCGCCGGCUGCGCCCGGCGCCCGGCGAGGGCUACUUCGGGAACUGCAUCCGGCCGUGCUUCGCUCGGGCCAACGUGGGCGAGCUGCGCGGCGAGGGCGGGGUGGCGCGCGCGGCGGCGGCCAUCCGGGAGCGCGUCCGCGAGGACCUGGAGCGGACCUCGGACCCGCUGGAGGGGAUGGAGCGCGUGCUGGAUGUCGUCCGCGGCGUGCCCAGGGAGCGGCUGACCUCGGUGGCGUCGUCGCACCGGUUCAUGGCGUACGAGACGGACUUCGGGUGGGGCGCCCCGAGCCGCGUCGAGCUCGUCUCCAUGUUCGCGGCGGAGCUGGUGACGCUGCUCGGUGCGAAGCAGGCCGGCGCCGUGCAGGUGUCCGUGGCGCUUCGCCGGCACCUGAUGGAGGCGUUCGCGGCCAACUUCCUUGCGCUGGCCGGGAGCAGCUAG
This 1050-nucleotide ribosomal RNA is filed under the name Triticum aestivum (bread wheat). RNAcentral describes it as "partial small subunit ribosomal RNA". Lineage: Eukaryota; Viridiplantae; Streptophyta; Magnoliopsida; Poales; Poaceae. The record is from RNAcentral.